RNAcentral lists this ribosomal RNA (484 nucleotides) under uncultured bacterium. RNAcentral describes it as "partial 16S ribosomal RNA". It matches the Rfam family "Bacterial small subunit ribosomal RNA", at positions 30 to 507 of the family's 1533-position model. The record is from RNAcentral.
AUUGAACGCUGGCGGCAGGCCUAACACAUGCAAGUCGAGCGGAUGAAGGGAGCUUGCUCCUGGAUUCAGCGGCGGACGGGUGAGUAAUGCCUAGGAAUCUGCCUGGUAGUGGGGGAUAACGUCCGGAAACGGGCGCUAAUACCGCAUACGUCCUGAGGGAGAAAGUGGGGGAUCUUCGGACCUCACGCUAUCAGAUGAGCCUAGGUCGGAUUAGCUAGUUGGUGGGGUAAAGGCCUACCAAGGCGACGAUCCGUAACUGGUCUGAGAGGAUGAUCAGUCACACUGGAACUGAGACACGGUCCAGACUCCUACGGGAGGCAGCAGUGGGGAAUAUUGGACAAUGGGCGAAAGCCUGAUCCAGCCAUGCCGCGUGUGUGAAGAAGGUCUUCGGAUUGUAAAGCACUUUAAGUUGGGAGGAAGAGCAGUAAGUUAAUACCUGGCUGUUUUGACGUUACCAACAGAAUAAGCACCGGCUAACUUCGUG